CCUACGGGUGGCAGCAGUGGGGAAUAUUGCACAAUGGGGGGAACCCUGAUGCAGCGACGCCGCGUGGGUGAAGGAGUACUUCGGUACGUAAAGCACUAUCAGCAGGAAAGAAAAUGACGGUACCUGACUAAGAAGCCCCGGCUAACUACGUGCCAGCAGCCGCGGGAAUACGUAGGGGGCAAGCGUUAGCCGGAUUUACUGGGUGUAAAGGUAGCGUAGACGGCUGGUCAAGUCCGGAGUGAAAGCCCGGGGCUCAACCCGGGGACUGCUCUUGAGACUGGAAAGCUGGAGUGCGGGAGGGGCAGGCAGAAUUCCUGGUGUAGCGGUGAAAUGCGUAGAGAUCAGGAGGAACACCGGCGGCGAAGGCGGCCUGCUGGACCGUGACUGACGUUGAGGCGCGAAAGCGUGGGGAGCAAACAGGAUUAGAUACCCUAGUAGUC
RNAcentral lists this ribosomal RNA (440 nucleotides) under uncultured bacterium. Its description in RNAcentral is "partial 16S ribosomal RNA". It matches the Rfam family "Bacterial small subunit ribosomal RNA", at positions 338 to 795 of the family's 1533-position model. The record is from RNAcentral.